GAAGAAUCUGGAAGGAGAGCUCAAUAUACUGAAAGUGAAGAAUCGUCUUGGACAAUUAAUCUGGACUCCGAGGACGAUAGUCUGGACUUUGAGGAUGAAAUGUAUUAUACAUAAGCAAAGUUAUUGGAUAUGCAAGCUCUUCAAGAACUGAAGCAGGAGAACCUCUCUGAUGAAGAAUAGCAAUCAGAAGAUGAGGACAACAUCUGGCAAAUGAAAAGGCUAAUGACUUCUAAUGUACCCUCUGAAGAAACAAAAGUUACAAGGGAUGAAGAGCUGAAGCAUGGCAACCUCUCUGAUGAAGAAUGGUGAGCAGAAGAUGAAGACAACAUCUGGC
Panicum virgatum (switchgrass) is the source of this 334-nucleotide long non-coding RNA. RefSeq lists it as uncharacterized. The transcript has 3 exons. Lineage: Eukaryota; Viridiplantae; Streptophyta; Magnoliopsida; Poales; Poaceae. The record is from RefSeq and is a predicted model, not a curated record.